GGUUGGAUCAUUAAAAAAAGGACUGCCUUUCGGCUGUAAAAAGUCUGGAGAGGUGGUACCAUGUAUAAAUUAAUGGUAUUGGUAUAUACGUCAGGAGAGGGGCAUGCUAUUACAAACAUUGAAAUUGGUUUUUUAAACCACAUAGAGUAACCAACAAUGCUUGCCAAGAUUGCAGGGGGCAGUGUCCAGUCGUUAUACGCAAGGUUCGGGGGUUAUCUCUAUGCAGUAAAUUAGUAAUAAUAGUCAUGCUAUAGACAGGCCACUCCUCUCUCUGAUAUCUGAUUUCUGAUAGCCUGGCUAUCUUCUCGAGACGUCUGAUACCCCCCGGGGUCAGUGGGUCCUUAAUGGGAUGUCCUUGACAUGAACUCUGGAGACAAGUAGAGUGACAUAUGAAAGAAAGAUACAGACAGUAUAUACGUAUACUGAUGAUAUUUACCAACGCCAUUAAUAUUAUAUACAACCUUUUGUGAACUGUUUUGUCUCUGGCGGGGUGGAUGGAGUAAUUUAAAUAGCUACUCUGUCUGUCAGCCUAGAUAGGAAUAUCUGGGCCGUGGACAACCCGCCAACUGUAUCUUAACUAUCUGAUUUAAUACUUGUCUAACAAUAUAUUCAAUCAAUAUAUAAACAACUUUUGGCAACGGAUCUCUUGGCUCUCGCAACGAUGAAGAACGCAGCGAAAUGCGAUAAGUAGUGUGAAUUGCAGAAUUCAGUGAAUCAUCGAAUCUUUGAACGCACAUUGCGCUUCCUGGUAUUCCGGGGAGCAUGCCCGUUUCAGAAUCAUUAAAAUCUCAUAAUACUUGCUUGUGCAUUAUUCCUGUAAUGAUGUACAUGGCAAGUUUUGUGGAUUUUGGAUGAUUUGUCAUUUGACAAUCAUUUAAAAUUGAUUGUAUGUGCUCCAAUUGCGUAUGUCUUUUGGGUCUCUAAAGUGCAACAGAUUAUAUCUAUUCUCUUUGGUACUUAAGGAUGUACUUUGGUGUAUGUAACCAAACGUUAUUAUACAGACUCUAUAUACCAAUGUGUAUGGUUUCUGAUAACUUGGUCUGAAAUCGGGCAAGAAAACCCGCUGAACUUAAGCAUAUCAAUAAGCGGAGGAAAAGAAACUAACAAGGAUUCCCCUAGUAACGGCGAGUGAAGCGGGAACAGCUCAAAUUUGAAAUCUCGCAGGGUUACCUGUGCGAAUUGUAGUUUAGAGAAGCGUUUUCGGGGGCAACUUGGGUAUAAGUCCUUUGGAAUGAGGCAUCAUAGAGGGUGAGAAUCCCGUUUAUGAUCCAAUGUUUGCUCCUAUGUGAUACGCUUUCCAAGAGUCAGGUAGUUUGGGAUUGCUGCCUAAAAUGGGUGGUAAAUACCAUCUAAAGCUAAAUAUUGGCGAGAGACCGAUAGCGAACAAGUACCGUGAGGGAAAGAUGAAAAGAACUUUGAAAAGAGAGUUAAACAGUACGUGAAAUUGCCAAAAGGGAAACGCUUGGAACCAGUAUUGUUUACAGGUAAUCAGCCAUACAGCCUGCAAAGGUUAGUACGGUGCACUUGCUUGUAAACAGGUCAACAUCAGUUUGGUUUGGGGUAAAAAGCCAGAGGAAGGUGACUUGGACUUCGGUUUGAGUGUUAUAGCCUUUGGUCAUGCCUUGGACUGGACUGAGGUCUGCAGCAUUAUUUGGGUACCUGAUUGCCUCCUAACCCUUGGUUUUAGACAGCUUGCUGACUGAGAUUAAGGUUAGGGAGCCCAGUUAGCUUGCCACACCAGUGCUUAGGAUGUUGACGAAAUGAUUCCAAACGACCCGUCUUGAAACACGGACCAAGGAGUCUAACAUAUAUGCGAGUAUUUGGGUGGCAAACCCUUAUGCGAAAUGAAAGUGAACUUAGGUGGGAUCUUCGGUGCACCAUCGACCGGUCUGGAUUUUUUUGAUAGAUCUGAGUAAGAGCAUAUCUGUUGGGACCCGAAAGAUGGUGAACUAUGCCUGAAUAGGGUGAAGCCAGAGGAAACUCUGGUGGAGGCUCGUAGCGAUUCUGACGUGCAAAUCGAUCGUCAAAUUUGGGUAUAGGGGCGAAAGACUAAUCGAACCAUCUAGUAGCUGGUUCCCUC
RNAcentral lists this unclassified non-coding RNA (2080 nucleotides) under uncultured fungus. RNAcentral describes it as "sequence contains 18S rRNA gene, ITS1, 5.8S rRNA gene, ITS2, 28S rRNA gene". The stretch from base 1037 to 2080 matches the Rfam family "Eukaryotic large subunit ribosomal RNA", at positions 1 to 961 of the family's 3401-position model. The record is from RNAcentral. Lineage: Eukaryota; Fungi.